AGCCACAAAGUCAAGUUCGGGCAGCUUUAGGCAGCCCCACCCUACACCUCUCCUCCUGGGACCCUGAGGGCAUCUACUCUGACACUCUGGCAGGAGGGACAGCCACAGCCCCCGCCCAAGGCAGCCCACAUCACAGGUCCACAGAUCCUUUCACUCCCUGCAAAUGGAGUUCUGGGAAGAGGCCCCUUCUUCAAGCGCUGUUGGGGGCCAGGGCUCUUGGAGUGGGAGUGAAGAGACAAUGGGACGCCUUUCCACCUGCCAGCUCAGGACUGCAGAGUCUGCAGGGACCCUCCAUCAGCUGGUCCAGCCUCAUCUAACCUCCACACGUCCAGUGGGCUCCAGCAGGAGAGAACCCAGGCAGGAGAGGGCCUGUCGGCUUUCAUCGCCUCCCCCCACCCCAGCCACACCCAGGAGCAGGGGAGGAAGUCGGGAAAAUCCUGCAGGGGCUUGGCAAAGUGCCCAGCGGUGAGGGGAGGGGCUCGGUGGGGGGGACCCCAGCUGUAGCCCGCACAGACCACUCUGAAACAAGCCGCAACCCUCGCCAUCUCCCUGGAACAAGAAUGAUCCCUUUCUGGUGGAGUGAGGUAGUCUGGGGGCCGGAGGGAGGACCAACCUUGGGUCCCCAGGGCCUUCCCUGGAAGACCGUGGAGGAAACCCACCAGACCUACUCCAGGAGCUCCCAGAUCCAGCUGAAGGAGAAGUGGAACAAGACUCCCCUCCCUCGGGCCAGGGGCGCUCCAGUAUUCCCGGGAGCGGGAUGGAGCACCUGCCCCUGCUCCCCUUCCCCCACUGGGCCCAGGCACGCGAGGUUCAGCAGCGGCCCCGCCCACUCCCUGCCCCAGCCCCCCACAACCGUGGCCGCAGCACCCCUCAGCAGUCUCCCGACGUUAGGAAAUUAGGCUGUGCACCUCUUUCUCCCGGCACCCCCUUUAGCACUGGUAUCUCCGCCUCUGAGAAGGGGGAAACAGCACUGAUCACAGAGUUUUCCGGGACCAGGCGCCCCACCCGGAGGCUUGGCGGUCGCCAAGGGAGCGCGAGCGGGGGCUGCGGAGCGUCCGGGAUCAUUCCCACGGCCUGGGAUAGGGGUCCCAGCAGCGCGGCCGGCAAGCGAGGGGAGGGCCUUGGGGCGGCAUCGCGGGGAAGAGGCCCCGGCCCGGGCCUCCCGGGGCCGGGGUCCCGGCGGGGCCCACCUUGCAAGAGUACGUGUGCUGCACCGGGUCCACGUUGAGGAUCUCCUCCACCGUGCCGGUGAGCACCACGUUCGCCUCCUCCUCGCGCCGCUCCAGCGCGCGCUCCGGGC
This 1300-nucleotide long non-coding RNA is filed under the name Ictidomys tridecemlineatus (thirteen-lined ground squirrel). RNAcentral's name for it is "lncRNA (ENSSTOG00000030347.1)". Lineage: Eukaryota; Metazoa; Chordata; Mammalia; Rodentia; Sciuridae. The record is from RNAcentral.